UGGUUCUGGCAUCGAUGAAGAACGCAGCGAAAUGCGAUAAGUAAUGUGAAUUGCAGAAUUCAGUGAAUCAUCGAAUCUUUGAACGCACAUUGCGCCCUUUGGCAUUCCGAAGGGCAUGCCCGUUCGAGCGUCAUUACAACCCUCAAGCCCGGCUUGGUUUUGGACGGCGGGACUCCUCCUGCGCCCCAAUGUCGCCGGCUGGACGACCCUGAUCGCAGCGUUGUGACACCAAAUCUCGCUGGCGAAACGGGCGGCCAUGCCGUCAAACACACAUAGAAACAGGUUGACCUCGGAUCGGGUAGGGAUACCCGCUGA
This 315-nucleotide unclassified non-coding RNA is filed under the name uncultured fungus. RNAcentral's name for it is "partial contains 5.8S ribosomal RNA and internal transcribed spacer 2". The stretch from base 1 to 133 matches the Rfam family "5.8S ribosomal RNA", at positions 22 to 154 of the family's 154-position model. Lineage: Eukaryota; Fungi. The record is from RNAcentral.